Molecule: ribosomal RNA, 481 nt
Filed under: Staphylococcus pasteuri
Lineage: Bacteria; Bacillati; Bacillota; Bacilli; Caryophanales; Staphylococcaceae
Description: bacterial SSU rRNA
Rfam family: Bacterial small subunit ribosomal RNA
Source: RNAcentral
CAAGCGGUGGAGCAUGUGGUUUAAUUCGAAGCAACGCGAAGAACCUUACCAAAUCUUGACAUCCUUUGACCGCUCUAGAGAUAGAGUUUUCCCCUUCGGGGGACAAAGUGACAGGUGGUGCAUGGUUGUCGUCAGCUCGUGUCGUGAGAUGUUGGGUUAAGUCCCGCAACGAGCGCAACCCUUAAGCUUAGUUGCCAUCAUUAAGUUGGGCACUCUAAGUUGACUGCCGGUGACAAACCGGAGGAAGGUGGGGAUGACGUCAAAUCAUCAUGCCCCUUAUGAUUUGGGCUACACACGUGCUACAAUGGACAAUACAAAGGGCAGCUAAACCGCGAGGUCAAGCAAAUCCCAUAAAGUUGUUCUCAGUUCGGAUUGUAGUCUGCAACUCGACUACAUGAAGCUGGAAUCGCUAGUAAUCGUAGAUCAGCAUGCUACGGUGAAUACGUUCCCGGGUCUUGUACACACCGCCCGUCACACCACG